Molecule: ribosomal RNA, 875 nt
Filed under: uncultured archaeon
Lineage: Archaea
Description: bacterial SSU rRNA
Rfam family: Archaeal small subunit ribosomal RNA
Source: RNAcentral
CCUGACUGCUAUCGGAUUGAUACUAAGCCAUGCGAGUCUUUGCAGUAAUGCAAGGCAUACGGCUCAGUAACACGUAGUCAACUUACCCUAUGGACGAGGAUAAUCUCGGGAAACUGAGCAUAAUACUCGAUAGAUCAUAAUGCCUGGAAUGGUUUAUGGUUGAAAUGAUUCGUCGCCAUAGGAUGGGACUGCGGCCUAUCAGCUUGUUGGUGAGGUAAUGGCCCACCAAGGCGAUUACAGGUACGGGCUCUGAGAGGAGAAGCCCGGAGAUGGGUACUGAGACAAGGACCCAGGCCCUAUGGGGCGCAGCAGGCGAGAAAACUUUGCAAUGUGCGAAAGCACGACAAGGUUAAUCCGAGUGAUUUCUGCUAAAGAAAUCUUUUGCAAGUCAUAAAACCACUAGUGAAUAAGGGGUGGGCAAGUUCUGGUGUCAGCCGCCGCGGUAAAACCAGCACCUCAAGUGGUCAGGAGGAUUAUUGGGCCUAAAGCAUCCGUAGCCGGCUCUGUAAGUUUUCGGUUAAAUCCAUGUGCUCAACGCAUGGGCUGCCGAAAAUACUGCAUAGCUAGGGAGUGGGAGAGGUAGACGGUACUCGGUAGGAAGGGGUAAAAUCCUUUGAUCUAUCGAUGACCACCUGUGGCGAAGGCGGUCUACCAGAACACGUUCGACGGUGAGGGAUGAAAGCUGGGGGAGCAAACCGGAUUAGAUACCCGGGUAGUCCCAGCUGUAAACGAUGCAGACUCGGUGAUGCAUUGGCAUAUAGCCAGUGCAGUGUCGCAGGGAAGCCGUUAAGUCUGCCGCCUGGGAAGUACGUACGCAAGUAUGAAACUUAAAGGAAUUGGCGGGGGAGCACCACAAGGGGUGAAGCCUGCGGUUC